This 468-nucleotide ribosomal RNA is filed under the name uncultured bacterium. RNAcentral describes it as "partial 16S ribosomal RNA". It matches the Rfam family "Bacterial small subunit ribosomal RNA", at positions 28 to 507 of the family's 1533-position model. The record is from RNAcentral.
GACGAACGCUGGCGGCGUGCUUAACACAUGCAAGUCGAACGGAAAGGCCCUGCUUUUGUGGGGUGCUCGAGUGGCGAACGGGUGAGUAACACGUGAGUAACCUGCCCUUGACUUUGGGAUAACUUCAGGAAACUGGGGCUAAUACCGGAUAGGAGCUCCUGCUGCAUGGUGGGGGUUGGAAAGUUUCGGCGGUUGGGGAUGGACUCGCGGCUUAUCAGCUUGUUGGUGGGGUAGUGGCUUACCAAGGCUUUGACGGGUAGCCGGCCUGAGAGGGUGACCGGCCACAUUGGGACUGAGAUACGGCCCAGACUCCUACGGGAGGCAGCAGUGGGGAAUAUUGCACAAUGGGCGGAAGCCUGAUGCAGCAACGCCGCGUGCGGGAUGACGGCCUUCGGGUUGUAAACCGCUUUCGCCUGUGACAAAGCGUGAGUGACGGUAAUGGGUAAAGAAGCAUCGGCUAACUACGUG